GACGAACGCUGGCGGCGUGCUUAACACAUGCAAGUCGAACGAUGAAGCUGGAGCUUGCUCUGGCGGAUUAGUGGCGAACGGGUGAGUAACACGUGAGAAAUCUGCCCUUGACUCUGGGAUAACUGCGGGAAACUGUAGCUAAUACCGGAUACUUUCCCUGGUGGGCAUCCACUGGGGAAGAAAGAAUUUCGGUCUAGGAUGAUCUCGCGGCCUAUCAGCUUGUUGGUGAGGUAAUGGCUCACCAAGGCGACGACGGGUAGCCGGCCUGAGAGGGUGACCGGCCACACUGGGACUGAGACAUGGCCCAGACUCCUACGGGAGGCAGCAGUGGGGAAUAUUGCACGAUGGGCGCAAGCCUGAUGCAGCAACGCCGCGUGAGGGAUGAAGGCCUUCGGGUUGUAAACCUCUUUUAGCAGGGAAGAAGCGAAAGUGACGGUACCUGCAGAAAAAGCACCGGCUAACUACGUGCCAGCAGCCGCGUAA
This 483-nucleotide ribosomal RNA is filed under the name uncultured bacterium. Its description in RNAcentral is "partial 16S ribosomal RNA". It matches the Rfam family "Bacterial small subunit ribosomal RNA", at positions 28 to 522 of the family's 1533-position model. The record is from RNAcentral.